CAGGGAAUCUUGCGCAAUGGGCGAAAGCCUGACGCAGCGACGCCGCGUGGGGGAAGAAGGCCUUAGGGUUGUAAACCCCUUUUCUCGGGGACGAAACAAGACGGUACCCGAGGAAUAAGCUCCGGCUAACUACGUGCCAGCAGCCGCGGUAAUACGUAGGGAGCGAGCGUUGUCCGGAUUUACUGGGCGUAAAGGGCGCGUAGGCGGGGCAGCACCUCUCCGGUGAAAUCUCCCGGCUUAACCGGGAGGGGUCCGGGGAAAGGGCUGCUCUUGAGGGCGGUAGAGGCGAGUGGAAUUCCCGGUGUAGUGGUGAUAUGCGUAGAUAUCGGGAGGAACACCCGUGGCGAAAGCGACUCGCUGGACCGACCCUGACGCUGAGGCGCGAAAGCGUGGGGAGCAAACCGG
Molecule: ribosomal RNA, 405 nt
Filed under: uncultured bacterium
Lineage: Bacteria
Description: bacterial SSU rRNA
Rfam family: Bacterial small subunit ribosomal RNA
Source: RNAcentral